AGUGGACCAGACGAUCGCGGGGCACCUUGCGUGCCAUGAGGAAAGUCCGGGCUCCACAGGGCAGGAUGCUGGCUAACGGCCAGGCAGGGAAACCUGACGGAAAGCGCCGCAGAAAAGAAGACUCCCACCUACCGCAAGGUAAAGGGAAAAGCUGAAACGGUGGUGUAAGAGACCACCAGCGUCGUGGCGACACGGCGGCUUGGCAAGCCCCAUCCGGAGCAAACGCAAAUAGGAGCGCUAUGGUGUGGCCCGCACUGCGCUCGGGUUGCGCGCUAGAGGGCGUCGGCAACGACGUCAGUAGAUAAAUGAUCGUCCUCGACAGAACCCGGCUUAUCGGCCCGCUUC
This 345-nucleotide RNase P RNA is filed under the name uncultured Olsenella sp. RNAcentral's name for it is "Bacterial RNase P class A". It matches the Rfam family "Bacterial RNase P class A". Rfam says of the family: Ribonuclease P (RNase P) is a ubiquitous endoribonuclease, found in archaea, bacteria and eukarya as well as chloroplasts and mitochondria. Its best characterised activity is the generation of mature 5'-ends of tRNAs by cleaving the 5'-leader elements of precursor-tRNAs. Lineage: Bacteria; Bacillati; Actinomycetota; Coriobacteriia; Coriobacteriales; Atopobiaceae. The record is from RNAcentral.